GGUGGAGAGCACAGACCAGCAAGGAUGCAGCAUCAUCAUUCUUUUCUGUCCAAUCAGCUCUUGUGUUGGGUCAGACAUGAAGGCAGCUUUGAAGAAGGUGUCAGGUGACAAACCAGUCAUUCUGGUUCUGAUGCACCACACACGAAAUCCUGACUACUCAACAUGUGGGGGAAACUGGUGUUCAGUCUAUCAGAACGUUGUCCUGGUUGUCCAUGUUCUCUUCCAUGAAAGUGUGAAAGGACUACUGACAAGUUCAAAAAACAGUGAGGCAGUCCAACAGAUACACUAUAAACUACUGCAGUACAGUAGCAUUAGCAGGCUCAGAAAUGACCAGGGGACCCAGGAUAUGAGCCAAUCGUCAUGAAGAACUGUGGAAGAAGCUCAUGAAGGUAUGGUCAACAUUGGAGACAAUAAAAAGAAAGGAAUCCUUUCCUUUUUUGGGGGGCGCAAGACAGUGCUGGUGAGAGUGGCUUCUGUGGAGAUUAACAAAGUAUAAGUGUUUAUAUUAAAAAAUGAAUAAAACUAAAGAGCAUAUAUAUAAUCUGAAUGAUCAUGACUAUAUUCCUUAUUAAUAUUAUGUUUCAUAUUUUUUUGGCUAAAAAUGAGCCAGCACAGGACCUGACAUCACAUAAAGGUCCCUUGAGCAAAAAGUGGUGCCUUCACCAAUCUGUUUAAGACUAACUGCAAUAAGUCUGAGUCAGACUGAGACAGCUCACCUCCCACAAGGUGAUUUACACAAUCGCCCUGUGACCUCAGUGAUCACCCAGGGGUUGAGGGUGCUGUAUGUUCGGCCCACCCGUUGCCGUCUUAUUUUUACUCUAGUGUGACUGAGCCCUUGGAAGUCUAAACUACAGGCGUCUGUUGCUUGUGAUGUAAUAUGUUCACAGGAUCGGUCAGUUUUGUUCUUUUCCUUUGAUUUUAAAUGUACUGAUGAAUAUUCACUGUUUCCCAUUGACAUUCCUUUCCUCUUCAAACUCACUUAUUGUAAUAAAUAUAUACAUUUUGUGAUGAAA
Oreochromis aureus is the source of this 1013-nucleotide long non-coding RNA. RefSeq lists it as uncharacterized. The record is from RefSeq and is a predicted model, not a curated record. The transcript is spliced from 2 exons. NCBI's taxonomy places the organism in Eukaryota, Metazoa, Chordata, Actinopteri, Cichliformes, Cichlidae.